Molecule: ribosomal RNA, 510 nt
Filed under: uncultured bacterium
Lineage: Bacteria
Description: partial 16S ribosomal RNA
Rfam family: Bacterial small subunit ribosomal RNA
Source: RNAcentral
GACGAACGCUGGCGGCGUGCUUAACACAUGCAAGUCGAACGAAGAGCGAUGGAAGCUUGCUUCUAUCAAUCUUAGUGGCGAACGGGUGAGUAACGCGUAAUCAACCUGCCCUUCAGAGGGGGACAACAGUUGGAAACGACUGCUAAUACCGCAUACGAUCUAACCUCGGCAUCGAGGAUAGAUGAAAGGUGGCCUCUACAUGUAAGCUAUCACUGAAGGCGGGGAUUGCGUCUGAUUAGCUAGUUGGCGGGGUAACGGCCCACCAAGGCGAUGAUCAGUAGCCGGUCUGAGAGGAUGAACGGCCACAUUGAGACUGAGACACGGCCCAGACUCCUACGGGAGGCAGCAGUGGGGAAUCUUCCGCAAUGGACGAAAGUCUGACGGAGCAACGCCGCGUGAGUGAUGACGGCCUUCGGGUUGUAAAGCUCUGUUAAUCGGGACGAAAGGCCUUCUUGCGAAUAGUUAGAAGGAUUGACGGUACCGGAAUAGAAAGCCACGGCUAACUACGUG